This 58-nucleotide transfer RNA is filed under the name Myotis lucifugus (little brown bat). It matches the Rfam family "tRNA", at positions 8 to 63 of the family's 71-position model. Rfam says of the family: Transfer RNA (tRNA) molecules are approximately 80 nucleotides in length. Their secondary structure includes four short double-helical elements and three loops (D, anti-codon, and T loops). Lineage: Eukaryota; Metazoa; Chordata; Mammalia; Chiroptera; Vespertilionidae. The record is from Rfam by way of RNAcentral.
UGGCUCAGUGGGUAGAGCAUUGGGCUGAGGACUGAAGGGUCCUGGGUUUGAUUCCCGG